GGGCAAUAAGGAAGAUCUUUGAGUCGAGAGAGUUGAUAAAAGGCGUUGCAGAUCUUCAAGGUAAUGUGGAUAGUCGACUGCUUCAUCUACAGAGGAGAGAUUCUUUCAGCAUUAAGAAAAUAUACAGGUUCCAACACCCUCAAUACCAUAAAGUCCAGUGGAAGAGCAUCAUACUGCAGGCUCAGCUACAUCCUAGAUACAAAUUCA
Molecule: long non-coding RNA, 207 nt
Filed under: Nicotiana benthamiana
Lineage: Eukaryota; Viridiplantae; Streptophyta; Magnoliopsida; Solanales; Solanaceae
Description: long non-coding RNA (NBEN_LNC004561)
Source: RNAcentral